GACCCAAAAGAUGGUGAGCUAUGCCUGGGAAGAGCGAAGCCAGAGGAAACUCUUGUGGAAGUCCGUAGCCAUCCUGACGUGCAAAUUGGUCAUCCGAUCUGGGUAUAGGGGCGAAAGACUAAUCGAACCAUCUAGCACAGGG
Molecule: non-coding RNA, 142 nt
Organism: Myotis davidii
Lineage: Eukaryota; Metazoa; Chordata; Mammalia; Chiroptera; Vespertilionidae
Source: Rfam